Molecule: ribosomal RNA, 216 nt
Filed under: Glomeromycotina sp.
Lineage: Eukaryota; Fungi; Glomeromycota
Description: partial small subunit ribosomal RNA
Rfam family: Eukaryotic small subunit ribosomal RNA (bases 40-216)
Source: RNAcentral
GGGUCAGUAGGUUGGUCGUGCCACCGGUACGUACUGGUCUCACUGAUUCCUCCUUCCUGAAGAACCGUAAUGCCAUUAAUUUGGUGUUGCCGGGAAACAGGACUGUUACUUUGAAAAAAUUAGAGUGUUUAAAGCAAGCUAACGCUUGAAUACAUUAGCAUGGAAUAAUGAAAUAGGACGAUCGAUCCUAUUUUGUUGGUUUCUAGGAUUGACGUA